GUUGACAGAGUUUUUCAUUCCGACUUCGAAAGUCGUCUCACUUUAUAAUUCACCAAUAUGAAGACUUUGCUUGUAUUAUUGAUUUUGUCUGUCGUCAUGAUGGCUACUUUAGCCAUUAAAUAUGGAUAUGGUGGAUUUGGAGGUUAUGGUGGAGGUUAUGGAGGAGGUUAUGGUGGAGGUUAUGGUGGUGGUUAUGGUGGUGGCUUUAAGAAAAUUGGAGGAUUUGGUGGAUUCAGAAGAGGAUUUGGUGGUUAUGGUGGUUAUGGAGGAUUUGGAAGAGGUUUUGGUGGCUAUGGAGGAUUUGGAAAAUUUCAUAAAGGCUAAAUAAGUAAAAAAUUGUAAUUGAUCUCUUCUACUUCAUCCCAGAACUUAGAUUUUUCCUUACAAGUUUAAUUUAUGUAAAAUAUAUAUGUUCAUAAAAAUAAUGUAGUUUUACACAUUUGUAUAAAUAAACUCUUCUUCUAAGCUCAAA
This 472-nucleotide long non-coding RNA is filed under the name Androctonus crassicauda. Lineage: Eukaryota; Metazoa; Arthropoda; Arachnida; Scorpiones; Buthidae. The record is from RNAcentral.